RNAcentral lists this unclassified non-coding RNA (241 nucleotides) under uncultured fungus. RNAcentral describes it as "sequence contains ITS1, 5.8S rRNA gene". The stretch from base 193 to 241 matches the Rfam family "5.8S ribosomal RNA", at positions 1 to 49 of the family's 154-position model. Lineage: Eukaryota; Fungi. The record is from RNAcentral.
UUUCCGUAGGUGAACCUGCGGAAGGAUCAUUAAUGAAUUGAAAAGGACGUUCUCUUUAGAAGUCCGACCCAACUUCAUUCUCACCCACACUGUGCACACACACACACUUUACACACCCACACCUUUAAAACUCGUAUAAUAAGUCUUACAAGGAUGUAAAAGUCUCUUAAUUGAGCAUAAACAUAUAAAUAAAACUUUCAGCAGCGGAUCUCUUGGCUCUCACAUCGAUGAAGAACGCAGC